Ixodes scapularis (black-legged tick) is the source of this 75-nucleotide non-coding RNA. The record is from Rfam. Lineage: Eukaryota; Metazoa; Arthropoda; Arachnida; Ixodida; Ixodidae.
CCCGGGAUGGUCUAAUCGGUUAAAGGCGUCGCCCCGGACAGGCGAAGGUUGCGGGUUCAAUCCCAGCUCCUGGCC